RNAcentral lists this unclassified non-coding RNA (204 nucleotides) under Hevea brasiliensis (rubber tree). Lineage: Eukaryota; Viridiplantae; Streptophyta; Magnoliopsida; Malpighiales; Euphorbiaceae. The record is from RNAcentral.
CGCAACGCCUUCAGAACUGUCGCAAAAAUCGUUUCGGCGUUGAUGUAAAGCAGCGAAGCUUCGGGGCGAAAUGCUAUGAUACCGUCCAGCGGUUCCACGCCCUCAUGCCUGGCGCUGUCGGAAUAGCGGCCCGUGCCGGGAAGCCGUCCAAGAAACGCGAUGUUGGGUUGCGACGCUCGGCCGAGCAGCAAGAAGAUGGAUGCA